GUGGGGCCCGCGGCCUAUCAGCUUGUUGGUGAGGUAACGGCUCACCAAGGCGAUGACGGGUAGCUGGUCUGAGAGGACGACCAGCCACACUGGGACUGAGACACGGCCCAGACACCUACGGGUGGCAGCAGUCGAGAAUUUUUGACAAUGGGGGAAACCCUGAUCGAGCGACGCCGCGUGGAGGAUGAAGGUCUUCGGAUUGUAAACUCCUGUCAUUGGGGAACAAUGCGUGACGGUUAACUGCCGUCGCGUUGAUAGUACCCGAAGAGGAAGAGACGGCUAACUCUGUGCCAGCAGCCGCGGUAAUACAGAGGUCUCAAGCGUUGUUCGGAUUCAUUGGGCGUAAAGGGUGCGUAGGCGGCGCGGUAAGUCGGGUGUGAAAUCUCGGAGCUUAACUCCGAAACUGCAUUUGAUACUGCCGUGCUUGAGGACUGGAGAGGAGACUGGAAUUUACGGUGUAGCGGUGAAAUGCGUAGAUAUCGUAAGG
Molecule: ribosomal RNA, 487 nt
Filed under: uncultured Verrucomicrobiota bacterium
Lineage: Bacteria; Pseudomonadati; Verrucomicrobiota
Description: bacterial SSU rRNA
Rfam family: Bacterial small subunit ribosomal RNA
Source: RNAcentral